AUUGAACGCUGGCGGCAUGCCUAACACAUGCAAGUCGAGCGGAUGAAGGGAGCUUGCUCCUGGAUUCAGCGGCGGACGGGUGAGUAAUGCCUAGGAAUCUGCCUUGUCGUGGGGGAUAACGUCCUGAAACGGGCGCUAAUACCGCAUACGUCCUGAUGUAGAAAUUGGGGGAUCUUCGGAUCUCACGCUAUCAUAUUAGCCUAGGUCGGAUUAGCUAGUUGGUGGGGUAAAGGCCUACCAAGGCGACGAUCCGUAACUGGUCUGAGAGGAUGAUCAGUCACACUGGAACUGAGACACGGUCCAGACUCCUACGGGAGGAAGCAGUGGGGAAUAUUGGACAAUGGGCGAAAGCCUGAUCCAGCAAUGCCGCGUGUGUGAAGAAGGUCUUCGGAUUGUAAAGCACUGUAAGUUGGGAGGAAGGGCAGUAAGUUUAUACCUUGCUGUUUUGACGGUACCAACAGAAUAAGCACCGGCUAACUUCGUG
RNAcentral lists this ribosomal RNA (484 nucleotides) under uncultured bacterium. Its description in RNAcentral is "partial 16S ribosomal RNA". It matches the Rfam family "Bacterial small subunit ribosomal RNA", at positions 30 to 507 of the family's 1533-position model. The record is from RNAcentral.